Molecule: ribosomal RNA, 407 nt
Filed under: uncultured bacterium
Lineage: Bacteria
Description: partial 16S ribosomal RNA
Rfam family: Bacterial small subunit ribosomal RNA
Source: RNAcentral
AUUGAACGCUGGCGGCAGGCCUAACACAUGCAAGUCGAGCGGAGCGGCGGACGGGUGAGUAAUGCCUAGGAAUCUGCCUGGUAGUGGGGGAUAACGUCCGGAAACGGGCGCUAAUACCGCAUACUAUCAGAUGAGCCUAGGUCGGAUUAGCUAGUUGGUGGGGUAAAGGACGACCAAGGCGACGAUCCGUAACUGGUCUGAGAGGAGGAUCAGUCACACUGGAACUGUGACACGGUCCAGACUCGUACCGGGGGGAGGAGUGGGGGAUAUUGCACAAUGGGCGAAAGCCUGAUGCAGCGACGCCGCGUGGGGGAUGAAGGCUUGCGGGUUGUAAACCUCUUUCGCUAUCGAACGGGUAGGUGGAGAAGAAGCGCCGGCUAACUACGUGCCAGCAGCCGCGGUAAUAC